This is a long non-coding RNA of Maylandia zebra (zebra mbuna), 3111 nucleotides long. RefSeq lists it as uncharacterized. Lineage: Eukaryota; Metazoa; Chordata; Actinopteri; Cichliformes; Cichlidae. The record is from RefSeq and is a predicted model, not a curated record.
AAUCGAUUGUGCAAGUAGUUUUUUCCCACAGUUUUUGCCAUGCUUUGUUAUAUAAAGAGAUUUGUUUGCAACAAUUCCGAAUAAGUUGGGUGCGUGACCUGAAAUGCUACAUAUUACAGAGUUAACCUUUGACCUGGCUGCAUUAGAAAAAAAAAAUCAUCAUUGCAGAGAUCUAAUCUUAGACAGAGUGAAAGAUGCUACCCCCCAACGAGUUUAAACAAGUUCUGUGUUAAAAUUGUUUUGUGUGGUAAAUCCAUUUUGAGCCUCAGCUGUUGCCCCCUCCCACCUGUUUACAAUGGAACAAAGCAUCUCAGGUGGAUUAUAUAUUGGGGUGCAUAUGGCAAAAUGUGCUUUUGUUUUUUAUUAUUUAGCUUAUUCAGAACUGCUGUGUGUCACGUGGCCUUACCAAAUCUUUAAUCCUGACAGUAUAUUUUUGGGGAAAUCCAUGACAGUACCUUUAAUAUCUGCUUUUCACAGAUCGUAUUUAUAGUCUUCUACUUCUUGGCCACGCAGGCUUGAAGGGUAGGAGAAUAAUUGUUUGACAAUACUAUGCCUAUCUUCUCUGUCUUUUUGCAAAAUCAAUCUAUUCACAUGCAUUAUGCGGUAUGUCCAUAUAGGUUAUAAUGGACUGGAUGUGCAUUUGAAAGCUCUAAAAGCAUAUUAAGUUUAAAAAAAGAGAGAGAAAUGGGAAAAAAGAAAAUAUAGUUUUGACUUUAGCAAAAAGGGAAAUGUCUGUUCCAGAAAGUUCACUUGUAAUUGACUACACUGAGAAUUAUGUAGGGAGGUAGCAUAACUACUGUAGAUACUUUUAAUAGAUACAUUUAAAAAGUAGUCGACCAUGAAAAUCAACGCGCAUAUAGCCUCUGGGAACAUUUGUGACACAGCAGAUUCUUCUCAGUAACAUUUUCUGCAUAGUGCUUUCAUAGUACAUGAAUGAAUGAAUGGACAAAGUGGAAACAUUUAAAGAUGAACACGUGUGACAUUUGGGUACAGAAGGUAAUGACUAACAUGCCAUAGACGCAAGAAAUAAGGAGGGCAAAUUACUGAUAGCGUGCACUACUCGGAUUUGCCAGAUUAAAUAUUAGGUCCAUCAGCUUGGAGCUAUAUUUGGCAGUUUCACGAAAACAUGAAAGCCUGCCCACAGCAUGAGCUAAACAACGUGCACGCAUCCUGCACUCUUUACCUCCACUCUGUCACAGCAACCUUUGGCGUCAGCGUACAUUUUGCUAUUUCGAGGUUGAAUCUUUUUUUUCUUUUUUUUUUUACACGUUAAUUUAUGUUGAAGUAAAGUGAAACCUUAGCGAGGACGGAAGUAAUGUCACAUGCUGCGUAAGGCAGGACGUGAUUCCUGCGUGAUUCCUUCGCUCAAAAGCCACAAGAACCGCGGGAAUAGAGGGAGGACGAACACGUAUAGUUUCAAACUGUAAAGCCAUAACUUUGAAGAAUUUCAGCAGCAAUGAAGACGCACUCGAUACUGCCCGCUUCCAACAUUAGCCCGAGGUGAAUAUGAAUGAAGAAUGACCAAUGCCUCUUUUUUGCAUCAGUUUCCUUGUUCUCCUUCUUCUACCUCUCUCUCUGUCCUGUGGUAGUGUACACCUUGAUAACAUCAGAAGUGAUUAUAUCACCAUCAUUCAAACGGAACUGCAGAGGACAACAGAAGAAAUCACAAGCUUGCUGCAAAACUCAGACUGUUCAGUAUUCUCACACAAGCUACGCAACUGCACACCAGGCAACGCAACGUCUGUGCGUACCUUACAUAACCUAACCUGCAAAAUGCGGAGUUUACCGUUUCUCCAGAUGACUCUACAACUGAUCACGUCCGUCGAAAUUUCGAUGAGUUGCCAUUGUCGUGAGAAAUCAAUCAAAAUGCCCACUGAGAGUUUAAAGAGGAGAAGGGGAGCAACAAGACGAAGGAGGAACGAGGGGACGAAAAACAGAAAGCAGACUAAAAAACUGUGCAAAGCCAAGGCAAUUCUUUCCGCCAUGACUGAAUGCUACCAGAUGCUAAACUCUCUAUAAAUGGAUACCUGAAUCCAAACUCAAUCACAGCAUGAAGCUCAAAACUUGCAUGCGCUGUCAGUUCCUCUGCAGUAUGCAUUGCUUCGGUGGAUUAUGCGAGGAGGAGCUUCCACUUCAUUUAAGCUUUCCUGUCAAGUACCAGUAUAUUUCUGUAGCAGCUGUUUCAGGUGUUGUAUGACUACUGACUCUUCAGAUAAGUUUCCCAGCCACACAGAAGCAAAAUAUUCAGUCAAGCGGAAAUGAAAUUCCUAAGUCUUCCUAAUAUCCUGAUUUCCCACACACUAAGGACCAGCUGCAUAUACAACCUUUUAUGCAGCAUCAUGUGGACUACAAACAGUUUAAGGUGCAUGUUUUCUUUUUUUAUUAUCACAGCAAAGCGUUUUAAUAGCUGAAGUUGUGUUUAGCUAUAAAAAGUGGAUAUGAUUAACUUUAAAGGUGCUUAAACUGAACUUUGUUUUCGAAGCACUUGCUACGACAUUAACUUGCACUUAGUAGUGGCUGCUGAAGCAUGACUAGGAAAUAUUAAGGUGCUCAGAUAUAGUUUUGCUUUCACUUUGGAUUGGAAUAACUAGCCCUGGCAGAUCUUUUUUAUCUUGGUUAUCUAAAGCUCCUCAAUUUUUGUUUUUAAUUUUCCUGUCCGGGGAGUUGUUUUAGGCUGUGUGUCAAGGUACGGUCUGAGAUGACACUGUGUUGAUUACUCAUUGACAAUGAUUUAUAUAUUAAAAGCAUGCUUUGCCACAGUUAUUUAAGCUCAGGUCACAGACCUUUUUUUUCCUAUCCUGGGAUAUAGCUACAGUACGAGCUUUUACUGUCACAAUCAGUUGGUGCUCUGAUUAAUGUUAUCCACCUAAAAACUUUUUUCCCUUUUUACACAAUUAUAGAAAAUAUAAGCAUGCAACCUUUGCUACAUUUUGCAGCUAUUUUCAGCACAGCAGCUAUUUGUUUCCCGUCAUGUAGCAUACAUUAUGUACUACAUAACAUUAUGUUGUUAUGUAGCUAACUUCUGUCUUUAAACUGUAUAUUUAAGCUGAUGACUAACAUUGUAUAUAACAUGGCAUACUAUUCAAAAAAUAUAUUUAUAUCCCAAACAAA